Long non-coding RNA from Dreissena polymorpha, 559 nucleotides. RefSeq lists it as uncharacterized. The record is from RefSeq and is a predicted model, not a curated record. Lineage: Eukaryota; Metazoa; Mollusca; Bivalvia; Myida; Dreissenidae. The transcript has 2 exons.
ACACCUCCACACACCACACGAACGAAAACUGUUGCAUUAAUAGUGACGUCAUAACGUGCAAACUAAGCGCUAACGUAUUAUUUUGAAUGACGUCGUCACCUUGACAACAUAUAUCAUUUGCGCUUUGCCAUGAUUGAACGCGUAUUAUUUUUUGUUUUACAUAAUUAUAUAAAUAAUUGAAGAAAUGCAUAAGAAAUGUAAAAGUAGGCGACGCAGAAUCAGAAGGGGGAGGAAACCGGGUCGAGAAAGGCGCCGACAGGAUAUUAACGACAUGGUGCAGCUCGCAGUGAACAAAAACGGACUAGCUAUAGAGAUGGAAUAUCAGAUUGCUUAUGAGCCUGUCACAUACGAGCCAGACGUUAUCACGUCCAACGCGUUGAGGUAGAGCUUUGACAAGAUAAACGCUUGAUGCACACCAGGGACAUGAUAAGGUCUUCCAGGACAUUGGCGAAUUUAAGCACACUCAGCGACUUGUAAUUGACAAUGCUUUGGCAGGUUUGUGUAUGCGUUUUUAUUUGUAUUGGCUAGACAUAAAGACAUAAAAACAAACGUUUGCUUA